AUUGAACGCUGGCGGCCGGCCUAACACAUGCAAGUCGAGCGAGCGGCGGACGGGUUAGUAAUGUCUGGGAAACUGCCUGAUUGCUGGGGAUAACUACUGGAAACGGUAGCUAAUACCGCAUACCAUCAGAUGUUCCCAGAUGGGAUUAGCUAGUAGGGGGGGUAAUGGCUCACCUAGGCGACGAUCCCUAGCUGGUCUGAGCGGCUGACCAGCCAAACUGGAACUGAGACACGGUCCAGACUCCUACGGGAGGCAGCAGUGGGGAAUAGUGCACAAUGGGCGCAAGCCUGAUGCAGCCAUGCCGCGUGUGUGAAGAAGGCCUGCGGGUUGUAAAGCACUGUCAGCGGGGAGGCGUUACCCGCAGAAGAAGCACCGGCUAACUCCGUGCCAGCAGCCGCGGUAAUUC
Molecule: ribosomal RNA, 406 nt
Filed under: uncultured bacterium
Lineage: Bacteria
Description: partial 16S ribosomal RNA
Rfam family: Bacterial small subunit ribosomal RNA
Source: RNAcentral